RNAcentral lists this ribosomal RNA (253 nucleotides) under uncultured bacterium. RNAcentral describes it as "partial 16S ribosomal RNA". It matches the Rfam family "Bacterial small subunit ribosomal RNA", at positions 524 to 776 of the family's 1533-position model. The record is from RNAcentral.
UACGGGGGGGGCAAGCGUUGUUCGGAAUUACUGGGCGUAAAGGGCUCUUAGGCGGCCAACUAAGUCGGAUGUGAAAUCCCCAGGCUUAACCUGGGAACUGCAUCCGAUACUGGAUGGCUUGAAUCCGGGAGAGGGAUGCAGAAUUCCAGGUGUAGCGGUGAAAUGCGUAGAUAUCUGGAGGAAUACCGGUGGCGAAGGCGGCUUCCUGGACCAGCACUGACGCUGAGGCGCGAAAGCUAGGGGAGCAAACAGG